Non-coding RNA from Oryza nivara, 189 nucleotides. The record is from Rfam. NCBI's taxonomy places the organism in Eukaryota, Viridiplantae, Streptophyta, Magnoliopsida, Poales, Poaceae.
AUUAAGUGCAAUCAUAACUUUCCGUACCCAACUUUGAUCGUCCGUCUUAUUUAAAUUUUUUUAUAAUUAGUAUCUUUGUUGUUAUGCGAUGGUAAAACAUGAAUAGUACUCUACUUGUGACUUAUGUUUUUUUUUUCAAAUAAGACGGACAGUUAAAGUUGGGAGCGGAAAACCAUGGCUGCACUUAAA